CCCUUGUGUGGUUGCUGCCUAAUUCCAAAUUUCCAAUUGUUGGUGGGGGUGGGACUGGCAUCGGUCACUGAGACCUUGUUUAACUGAUUCUGGAGGGCUAUGGCUUUUUUUCUUCUGCACUGGAGUGCUCCUACUUGAAUUGCAUCACAUCCCCAAAAGAGGAGUUGGAAUUUUUCUUCACAUUUGAUUCCAGGAAGAACAAGAGAGCCUGGGAGCAGUUAUUUGAAUUGAGAUGGGUGCUUUUGCAACACCAGUUAUAAGGUCUUUUUCUCCUUUGACAACAGAGUUUGAUCGCUAAAGCAGGUAUUCGAUUAGCCCUUGAAGUUGGAAUUCUCCCCCUUGAAGUAGAGCCUGAUAGUAUGAAGGCUGGUAGCUUGGUA
Long non-coding RNA from Rosa rugosa (rugosa rose), 380 nucleotides. RefSeq lists it as uncharacterized. NCBI's taxonomy places the organism in Eukaryota, Viridiplantae, Streptophyta, Magnoliopsida, Rosales, Rosaceae. The record is from RefSeq and is a predicted model, not a curated record. The transcript has 3 exons.